Poecilia latipinna (sailfin molly) is the source of this 1021-nucleotide long non-coding RNA. RefSeq lists it as uncharacterized. The record is from RefSeq and is a predicted model, not a curated record. NCBI's taxonomy places the organism in Eukaryota, Metazoa, Chordata, Actinopteri, Cyprinodontiformes, Poeciliidae. The transcript is spliced from 3 exons.
CUUACAAUAUGUUUUAUUUAAAAACAUAUAAUACAUAUAUAAGUAUAUUAAUUCAUAUUUUCCGGCACCCAUUAUGUUAGAAUCAACAAUUAAAUAGUAUUUUAUAGUCAUAUUGUAGCUGGACGCAAGUAAUUAGUCAAGUUAAAAUAGUACAACAGAAAACAUUGAGGUUUCUGUGUUGCAGAUAAGGUGCUCCUUUCUAAGUCUCAUCCUUUAUCAUUGCGCCCUCUGGUGGAGAAGCACAAACCUCACAGACGUCAAACAGGCUGAGGUAUGAUUCACCGUUUGGGUUUUACACGACGACUAGUGACAGGAAAGUCAGUAACACAAAUAAUCUCUUCAUCACAGCAUUUGUUAGUAGAACUAAGACCUUAAACAGCAAGAGAAUGUGUUUCCUCAAAGUUGAUAGGUGGCAGUCAGUCUCGCAGCAGCUAUGAAGAGCCCUCUGACUAAAGACUGUUGCUGUAUGACAGUCUCAUGGCCGUCACGACACGCUACAUUUUCAAUUUCUGGGCAGCAGUGAUGAUAUUCCAUGGUGACAUAUCCCAAAUUAGUUAUCUUUAAAAUAUCUGAGAAAUAAGAUAUUUCUAAGAUGGGAGCACAGCAGUUGAUGUGCUCCCAUCAACUGUUGGGAGCACAAUCUCUGUCUAGGCUAGGGUUAGAAAGCCAGGCAGAGAAACAUUGGAGAUGGGGAUAUGAUCCCUGCCCAUUAUGAUCGAUGUGGUUUGAUCAAAUAAAAAACAGCAACUGUUGCUCAGAUUCAGUCUAUCAGAACUGGUCCCAUUAGCAAUGAAAGAAGGUGCGGGGGAAAGCAGUAUAUCCUGCUGCCUGUGGCCUCUUUCGCCACAAUAAUACGCUCUGUAGCAAAACAAAAGCUGUUCAGGACAAAUUUGAGAAGCAAAAAAACAUGCCUGAGGUAUUGACUUGGCCUCCAGAUUCCUCUGAUUUCAAUUCAACUGAGCACUUUUGGGAUGUCUUGCCCAAUCUUUGGAGUUUCCACCUCACAACUUACUGAACUUAC